This is a long non-coding RNA of Oxyura jamaicensis (ruddy duck), 1024 nucleotides long. RefSeq lists it as uncharacterized. The record is from RefSeq and is a predicted model, not a curated record. The transcript is spliced from 3 exons. NCBI's taxonomy places the organism in Eukaryota, Metazoa, Chordata, Aves, Anseriformes, Anatidae.
ACAGAGAUUUAAAAAUGGAAAACAUUUUAGUUAAAAGCAGUGACAUCAGUGAAGCAAAUGAAAUUAGACGUGAAGGGCUAAAUAUAUCAUCUCCAUUGAUUCUGGAACUGAAGGCCAUGGUUCUUGCUUUGAACCCAUGACCAUAUCUCCCAUGAUGUAGCAGAUAAAAAUAUGGCCCCAAAACAACAUCUUUUUGAACAGCUGAAACAAUAUUAAGUGAUUAGUGAAUAGACUAUGAUUAGUGAAUUUUUAAUCUAGGAUAUAAAUCCAUUUGGCUAUUUUUAUGUUUAGAGUAUUUUGGCAUUGAUUUUAUUUAUUGUAUGAUGUAUUCUAGCCAAUGUGCAAACAGAGGCUGUCGUGUCUUGCAAAAACCCUGUGUUCUUUUGUUCUACUCUUAUUUCUGGGAGAAGAAAAAGUUUGUAUGGUGUCUUGCAGUACUUAAGUCAGCAUUUUAAGAAUGCCCCUUUAAUAACUUACUGUGGGGAAAAACAAUACAAAGUUUAAUCAUACAGCUAAUGUCACAAUGUCACCACCCCCUUAACAGCUAAAUGAUAAAAGUGAGGACACAUCAGCAUGAAUUGUUAAGGUCUGUACAUUAUUCAUUUAAACAUCUGCUGUUGGUUCCUCUUUACAUAUGGGAAUAAAUUAUACCACAUCAGCACAUUCUUCAUGCUUUGUGUUUAAGCAUUUAAAAGUUUUUUUUUUUGUAUUAUUAAUAUUAUUUUUUCUGCUUGGUUGGCAGCCCUUGAAAUUAUCAGUGCCCAGGACUACAGUCAACAGCGUGAUGUUUAGAGCACAGGUGUCGUUACGUACAUGCUGGUGAAACACAUUUUGUCCAGAAACGAUGUAGUAUCUUGGAGUUGAUGAAGGAACGAAGUAAUAAUCUGGGCACUGGUGAACGAUGCAGUAUAGAAGAAGAAUCAAAUAUUCCUACUGCUACAUGUCAACAGGAUGAAACCAGGGAAGCACAAGAAAGCUCUACCAGUGACAAACAGUGGCAUAGAACUUGGUGCCGAAAUUGAAA